RNAcentral lists this microRNA precursor (82 nucleotides) under Trichobilharzia regenti. RNAcentral describes it as "mir-3492 microRNA precursor family". It matches the Rfam family "mir-3492 microRNA precursor family". Lineage: Eukaryota; Metazoa; Platyhelminthes; Trematoda; Strigeidida; Schistosomatidae. The record is from Rfam by way of RNAcentral.
AGCCUUCUGUAUCCGGGCUGAGAUUUCGUCAGCGACCAACCCCUUGGUGUUGGCUGAUGCAACUACCCAAAUAAGUGAAGCG